UGGGGAAUAUUGGACAAUGGGCGAAAGCCUGAUCCAGCCAUGCCGCGUGUGUGAAGAAGGUCUUCGGCUUGUAAAGCACUUUAAGUUGGGAGGAAGGGCAGUAAGCGAAUACCUUGCUGUUUUGACGUUACCGACAGAAUAAGCACCGGCUAACUCUGUGCCAGCAGCCGCGGUACUACAGCGGGUGCAAGCGUUAAUCGGAAUUACUGGGCGUAAAGCGCGCGUAGGUGGUUCGUUAAGUUGAAUGUGAAAGCCCCGGGCUCAACCUGGGAAAUGCAGCCAAAGCUGGCGGGCUAGAGUAGGGCAGAGGGUGGUGGAAUUUCCUGUGUAGCGGUGAAAUGCGUGGAUAUAGGAAGGAACACCAGUGGCGAAGGCGACCACCAGGGCUCAUACUGACACUGAGGUGCGAAAGCGUGGGGAGCAAACAGG
Molecule: ribosomal RNA, 429 nt
Filed under: Pseudomonadota bacterium
Lineage: Bacteria; Pseudomonadati; Pseudomonadota
Description: Proteobacteria bacterium partial 16S ribosomal RNA
Rfam family: Bacterial small subunit ribosomal RNA
Source: RNAcentral